Molecule: non-coding RNA, 127 nt
Organism: Lasiosphaeria miniovina
Lineage: Eukaryota; Fungi; Ascomycota; Sordariomycetes; Sordariales; Lasiosphaeriaceae
Source: the annotation of a RefSeq genome assembly
GGGCGUGUGGCUCAGUUGGUAGAGCGUUCGCUUAGCAUUUCCCACGAGCCAUCCUCUUCACGAGGUUGUGUCUGGGCAAAUUCUAUCUUUCUGCGAAAGGUCCUGGGUUCGAUUCCCAGCUUGUCCA